GUCUGUGUGAAACAUUCUGAAGAGAGAUUGUGAAACCAGAACAGAUGAUUGUUGUUGUAACACUUGUCCCAUUUCAUGCUUGCAGUUACUGUAAAGAAAACAACCUGUAACAUGAGUCUGUGUGAAACAUUCUGAAGAGAGAUUGUGAAACCAGAACAGAUGAUUGUUGUAACACUGUCCCAUUUCAUGCUUGCAGUAAACACCCAAGAAAAGGCAUUACUGGUGUUUGUCCUUAUUCGAGGUUGAUCCUUUGGUGCAUCCAGUGUUCC
Long non-coding RNA from Sinocyclocheilus rhinocerous, 269 nucleotides. RefSeq lists it as uncharacterized. The transcript has 3 exons. Lineage: Eukaryota; Metazoa; Chordata; Actinopteri; Cypriniformes; Cyprinidae. The record is from RefSeq and is a predicted model, not a curated record.